GAUGAACGCUGGCGGCGUGCUUAACACAUGCAAGUCGAGCGAUGAAGUUUCCUUCGGGAAACGGAUUAGCGGCGGACGGGUGAGUAACACGUGGGUAACCUGCCUCAUAGAGUGGAAUAGCCUUCCGAAAGGAAGAUUAAUACCGCAUAACGUUGAAAGAUGGCAUCAUCAUUUAACCAAAGGAGCAAUCCGCUAUGAGAUGGACCCGCGGCGCAUUAGCUAGUUGGUGGGGUAACGGCCUACCAAGGCGACGAUGCGUAGCCGACCUGAGAGGGUGAUCGGCCACAUUGGGACUGAGACACGGCCCAGACUCCUACGGGAGGCAGCAGUGGGGAAUAUUGCACAAUGGGGGAAACCCKGAUGCAGCAACGCCGCGUGAGUGAUGAAGGUUUUCGGAUUGUAAAGCUCUGUCUUUGGGGAAGAUAAUGACGUACCC
This 436-nucleotide ribosomal RNA is filed under the name uncultured bacterium. Its description in RNAcentral is "bacterial SSU rRNA". It matches the Rfam family "Bacterial small subunit ribosomal RNA", at positions 28 to 480 of the family's 1533-position model. The record is from RNAcentral.